This 422-nucleotide ribosomal RNA is filed under the name uncultured bacterium. Its description in RNAcentral is "bacterial SSU rRNA". It matches the Rfam family "Bacterial small subunit ribosomal RNA", at positions 355 to 774 of the family's 1533-position model. The record is from RNAcentral.
UAAGGAAUAUUGGUCAAUGGAGGGAACUCUGUACCAGCCAUGCCGCGUGCAGGAAGACGGCUCUCUGGGUUGUAAACUGCUUUUAUUCGGGAAUAAACCUAUUUACGUGUAAAUAGCUGAAUGUACCGAAGGAAUAAGGAUCGGCUAACUCCGUGCUAGCAGCCGCGGUAAUACGGAGGAUGCAAGCGUUAUCCGGAUUUAUUGGGUUUAAAGGGUGCGUAGGCGGCUGAUUAAGUCAGGGGUGAAAGACGGUGGCUCAACCAUCGCAGUGCCCUUGAUACUGAUGAGCUUGAAUACGCUAGAGGUAGGCGGAAUGUGACAAGUAGCGGUGAAAUGCAUAGAUAUGUCGCAGAACACCGAUUGCGAAGGCAGCUUACUAUGGUGUGAUUGGCGCUGAGGCAGGAAAGCGUGGGGAUCAAACA